This 77-nucleotide transfer RNA is filed under the name Chromatiales bacterium. RNAcentral's name for it is "tRNA-Glu". It matches the Rfam family "tRNA". From Rfam's summary of the family: Transfer RNA (tRNA) molecules are approximately 80 nucleotides in length. Their secondary structure includes four short double-helical elements and three loops (D, anti-codon, and T loops). Further hydrogen bonds mediate the characteristic L-shaped molecular structure. tRNAs have two regions of fundamental functional importance: the anti-codon, which is responsible for specific mRNA codon recognition, and the 3' end, to which the tRNAs corresponding amino acid is attached (by aminoacyl-tRNA synthetases). tRNAs cope with the degeneracy of the genetic code in two manners: having more than one tRNA (with a specific anti-codon) for a particular amino acid; and 'wobble' base-pairing, i.e. permitting non-standard base-pairing at the 3rd anti-codon position. The record is from RNAcentral. Lineage: Bacteria; Pseudomonadati; Pseudomonadota; Gammaproteobacteria; Chromatiales.
GUCCCCAUCGUCUAGCCGGCCUAGGACACCGCCCUUUCACGGCGGCAACUGGGGUUCGAAUCCCCAUGGGGACGCCA